GAUGAACGCUGGCGGCGUGCCUAAUACAUGCAAGUCGAGCGAACGGACGAGAAGCUUGCUUCUCUGAUGUUAGCGGCGGACGGGUGAGUAACACGUGGAUAACCUACCUAUAAGACUGGGAUAACUUCGGGAAACCGGAGCUAAUACCGGAUAAUAUUUUGAACCGCAUGGUUCAAAAGUGAAAGACGGUCUUGCUGUCACUUAUAGAUGGAUCCGCGCUGCAUUAGCUAGUUGGUAAGGUAACGGCUUACCAAGGCAACGAUGCAUUGCCGACCUGAGAGGGUGAUCGGCCACACUGGAACUGAGACACGGUCCAGACUCCUACGGGAGGCAGCAGUAGGGAAUCUUCCGCAAUGGGCGAAAGCCUGACGGAGCAACGCCGCGUGAGUGAUGAAGGUCUUCGGAUCGUAAAACUCUGUUAUUAGGGAAGAACAUAUAUGUAAGUAACUGUGCACAUCUUGACGGUACCUAAUCAGAAAGCCACGGCUAACUACGUG
Molecule: ribosomal RNA, 497 nt
Filed under: uncultured bacterium
Lineage: Bacteria
Description: partial 16S ribosomal RNA
Rfam family: Bacterial small subunit ribosomal RNA
Source: RNAcentral